This 15813-nucleotide long non-coding RNA is filed under the name Cicer arietinum (chickpea). Its description in RNAcentral is "long non-coding RNA (CARI_LNC002221)". Lineage: Eukaryota; Viridiplantae; Streptophyta; Magnoliopsida; Fabales; Fabaceae. The record is from RNAcentral.
UCUUUGCUCUUCGCCGUCACCGCAACCACCGUUCCCUCAAAUCAAAAUACCAUGUCGGACGAAGAGCACCAUUUCGAAUCCAAGGCCGACGCCGGAGCCUCCAAAACCUACCCUCAACAAGCCGGUACCAUCCGUAAAAACGGUUACAUCGUCAUCAAAAACCGUCCUUGCAAGGUCCGUAUCCACAUUCUAAUUCCUUUUUUAAUUAGGUUUUUACUAAAUUAAUCAUUGAUUUGAUUUCAUGUAUUUGAUUAGAUCCAGUUUUUCUGCUUCACUGUUUUGGUUUCAUAUUUAAUUUAUUUUUUCUAUGUUGAAAUCUAUGUUUUUUUAUUGAUUUAAGUUCAAAAUUAAUCAUGAUUUUGAUUUGAUUUGUUCAAUUUUUGAGUAAAUUAAUCUAUGUUUCUGUUGCUUCACUGUUUUUGUUCAAUUUUUGAUGGAUUUGUGAGUUGAAUUUUCUGUUAUUGAUUUCCUUUUAUCAAUUAAUCAUCCGUUUGAUGGCUAUUUUUCUGAAAAUUAGUGUAUGUUUGGAAUUAGGGUUUUGGUGAAGGGAGUUUAAGAUGGCUAUGUCUAUAUUCUGUUAUAUAUUUGAGAUUUAAACAUUUCAAUCACAAUUAAUUUAUUUUUAGUAUAAUUUUAGAGUUUCUUUAAUUUAUCCUUAAUAUUGAAAAGAAAAAUAAGUCUUCCCCGUUUUCUUAAUAUUAGGUGAGUCUGCUUACUGAAAAUGGGAACACUAAGGAUGACCUCAAGCUUCCUACCGAUGACAGUCUACUCACUCAGGUUUGUACAGAUCUCAUGAUUCCUUGUUUGAAUUUACCAAUAUGGUGUUAUUUUUAUGUCUUUUGUAUCGUGUGUUUGAGUAAUAUGUGUUACUUGAUUGCAGAUUAAGGAUGGAUUUUUAUUUGUGUAACAAUACGGAAUUUAGAUAUGAUGUGAUUUUCUGUUGGGAUUGUGAGAAUUUGGAAUCUUUAAUGUUUCAGUGCUUAUUGCUUAUUCGUUUAACAGUAAGGAACUUAGAUAUGAUGUGAUUGUUUAUAGGAGUGUGAAAAUUUGUAGUUAUAAUGUUUAAGUGCACAAUCCUUUUACAGUAAGGAAUUAUAAUAGAAAAAAAAAAAAUUCUACCUGAAAGUUCAUGAUUUUUUCUAAAAAUAUAUGCCUGUGAAGAGUUUUUAUUUCCUUUCAUUUAACAUGUUUUUUUGUUGUACGACAGGGGAAGAAAAAGGAAGGAAAUGCUGCUAAAUUUGUCACUAGGAAUCAUGCUCUCAAGCAGCUUCAAAUCAGUCUACCCCUUUUCAGGUUCCAUAUGCUCAUAUAUAUAUAUAAACCAACAUUAAUGCUAUAUAUGAUAAUUUUCUUUUUCCCGAAAUGUCAUGAAGCACAUUCUGCUUUAAAGAAAAUUGCAAAAACUGUUCUACACCUGAAUUGGGCGAAAAACAUGGCAAUGAAAGUGAAAUAGCAAAUCAUAAUGAUUUGUGCUGUAAUUGUGAUGGUUACUUUCGUGACAUGAAUCAUUAUCCAUAAACCAAUUUAUGGGGCUUUUGUAGGAAAAGAAGGGUUUCUUUGGGUUAAAUUUCUCUUAGCUUGAUUACAUAUACAUAUUUUUUGUUAUCAUUAUUGAUCUAAUCUGUUAUCAUUUUGAAUAUGCAUAUAUUUAGCGUUACUCUUAAAUAUUUUGAAAAGUUAAUAUGGUUAAAUGUGAAGUUGAUUUUUUGUAAAUUUUAGGAAGCUGUGCAUUUUGAAAGGUGUAACUCCCCGGGAGCCUAAGAAAAAGUUAGGACGUCAGACUUGCUACCAUGUGAAGGAUAUAAGCUUUCUACAUCACGAGCCUUUGCUGGAAAUACAUAGAGCAAUAAGAGUACAUGAAAGAAAAAUUAAGAAAGCAGAGGCAAAGAAAAACAUUGAACGUGCAAAGAGGUUACGUGAUAAAACACCCAAACCCAAGUUAGAUAGGAUUAUUCGACAAAGGUUUGUUUGUUUUGGUUUUUUCCUUUCUAAAUUUCAAUUUAUGUCCUGUAGCCGGCGACAUAUUUCCAAUCUUUUUCUUCUCAUUCUUUGAAUUAUAGGUACCCAAGAUUUGGGGAUGCACUUGGAGAAUUGGAUGGCUGCCUUACAAUGGUACAUCUUUUUGCAGCAUUACCUGCGACUGAGAGCAAAAAAAUUGAUGUGGAGCGUGUCCAUAAAUGUCGAAGGUAUGUACAUGGAAUUAUAAUAACUUUAAAUUGAUUUGUCAUAAAGAAUUUAGGCCUUUGUGCCUAAAUCUUUACUUUGAAAAUAACAACUAGGGGAUUAGAUUUUUAUAUUAAAAUCUUGUCAUUUACAUUAAUUUUCUUUUACCUUAUGCUGUAAUAAUAUUUAUAUUCUUUUGUUUAUUGCAUGCACGUAUUCAUGCUGUAAUAAUUUUUAUAUUUAUCUUCUUUUGUUUAUUGCAUGCCCGUAUUCUAGAUUGGCGCAUGAAUGGCAAGCAUACAUAUCUCGUACUCACAGGUUAAGAAAAACAUUUGUAUCUGUUAAAGGCAUAUACUACCAGGUACUGAUUGUGGCAUUUGUUAUGUUAAUCAAUCAUAAUUGUACAUUUUAUUGAUUUAUUAUGUUGUUUGUGCAGGCUGAAGUCGAGGGUCAGACAAUAACAUGGUUAACUCCUCAUUCACUGCAGCAGGUUGUGUCUGAUGAUGUUGACAUCCCCACCAUGCUUAACUUUCUGCAAUUAUAUGAGGUCAGUUUAGUUUUAUGUUUGUAUUAAGUGUCUUCAUUUUUUGAUAAAUAAUCAAUGUCCAUAUCAUCCGAAGUAAUAGGAUAAUAGAUCUAAAUAUUUUAAUCAUGUAAACAUUUAAUUUGAAUAUGUUCUGCUGUGUUACGAUUAUCAUGUGGUUCAUGUAUAAAACAAAUUUAGUUAGUCAACUUAAGUUCAUGUACUAAUUGGUAUGGUAAACUUCUACUUUCUAAUGAAUUGCUGCAGCCUCUUCUUGCUCGAUCCUCGCUUGGAGGCGUUGGCAGCAGGUACCAUUUUCUCAACUUUUAUGGAAUUUGGUGAACUUGAAUUGCUGCAGAGAUUUGAUGUAUCUGCCGAUCAAUUUUCUUUUUAAACUUUGUAGAUCUAUAUGCAUUGUCAAGAUAUGCCAAUGCCGACAACAGACCCGCAAUACUGAGUUCUGAAGCUUCUCAAUUAGUUGAAUCUGAACAAGGGGGGAACAAGAAAACUGAGGCAGAGACUGAAAAUGAAAAAUCUGAACUUAGACUUGCUCAACUUCAGAAUCAACUUCCGUCUAAUGAACCCGGUGCACUAAUGCACCUUGUUGAGAAAGCUGCAGGUGAUGAUGAAGAGGAAUAUGAUCAAGAGACACGAGAAUGCAAAAAUCUCUUUCGAAAUGUCAAAAUUUUCUUGAGCAGGGAGGUAGGACCUUAAAGCAUUUGCAUUUAAUUUUGCAAUAUAAAUUAUUAGAAAAUAUAAAAAGUUGAUGUUUGGAAUAGUGAAGUUAAAAAAGGGUUAGGUCUCAAAGUAUUAUACUUGGAAGUAUUAACAUAUAUAAAAAUCCCAAGAUUAUUAGUAAGUGAAUGGAGUCUCCAACACUGUAAUUGAAAGGGACACAGUUCCAGGUGACACUCUCACAUACCAACCUCGGUUCUACUUUUUUUUUUCUCUUUACUCUUUCAAGUUUUCCAUCUAAAUAAAGUAUACUUGAAAAGGAAGUAAGAGAAUGAUGAGUGAGUAUUUGAUAUAUCUUAAAAUAUUUAAUCCAUCAUAUACCCAUACCAUAUAACUUUCUCUCUCUGACUUUUAAUUAUUUAAUUUUCCUUUAAGGCCUACUUCACUUUUUCUCUGUUGCAGCUUUGAGUCUAUAAAUAAAUAAAUAAAUAAAAUUUGUCCUAUUUCUGUUUGAUAAGUAAUAUAUUAAUUUGCCAAUUUAGUGCUGGAUCACUCACUGUCUCCAACUUUAUGGCCGAUUAGAGUGUGAAUACGCUAUGAUUAAACCUUAGAUCCCAAGGCUUCAACAAACCAAAGCUCUCUGAUAUUUUGAAGUCAUAGCAACCACGCUAUUAUACUUGGAAGUAUUAACAUAUAUAAAAAUCACUUCACGAUAAGACAGUUGAGUGGUUUACACAUUUUCUAUUGGAAUGUCUCAUAGAGAUGCCAAUCAGGGUUGGGACAAACACUUCAACUAUUAUGACUAAACAUGGUCACUGCAAUGUCUUGUUUUCAUUUUGUAUUUGUGGAGUUUCAUUGGUCAGUUAUAUGUAGGUACCAGAAGUAAGCUUUUUCUGAGGCUUAUGACAUGCUCGUAUAUUAAAAAGUUGAUGAAGCUAACAAUGCAAUGCCCAUUAAAAACUUAGCCUUUAUUGUGUAUAUUUUGACAUUGCCUGCAUCUGUUGUGGUUUAAUUGUUCAGGUACCAAGGGAAUCAUUGCUUCUUGUUAUUCCUGCUUUUGGUGGUAAAGUUUCAUGGGAGGGAGAGGGGGCUCCUUUUGGGGAAUCAGACCAGAGCAUUACUCACCAGGUUUGUGAUUUAGGUGACAUAACUUUUUUGAACUUUGUUUUAGGUUCACUUAGCUAAUUCUUUCAUUUCUUUAGAUCGUUGAUCGGGAAUCACAAGGACAUAGGUUCCUCUCAAGAGAAUAUGUUCAACCACAGUGGGUAUUUGAUUGUGUGAAUGCACGCAUAAUUUUGCCAACAGAAAGUUAUAUGGUUGGAAGGUAACUUCUAAUUCAUCUGCGCUAUAGUAUACUGACUUCUCACCUCUGUUGUACAGUUUAUAACCCCAUUUGGCGUUGAUUGUGGUGGUUUACAAUUCCUUUAUUUUACAAUGUAGACAUUGUUAAUAUAUUGCUUCUCACCUAAAUUAGUACGUGGGCCUCUGUUCUUUGGUAAUUGAUGUUGUAUUAUCUGUGAUUAUUUUUUAGGUUCAUUUUAUUUGUGAUUAUUUGGUCGGCAUGUGCUAAUUUUGGUCUGAGGAAAAUAAUUUGUUCUACAAGGGAUCAUGAUAUCUUAAUUUUUUGAAAAAUGGAUAAUAUUUUGCUAAUUAAAAAUAUAAUAUUUUAAAUUUCGAAAAAAAUCCACAUGUAUAAUAAUACACAUAUACUGACAGUACAAAGUCCCAUAGGCUGUGGAAUAAAUCUUACCGGUCAUGCAGAUUUUAGUGUCAAUCUCUUUAAAAUAUAUAUACCCAACCUCAUAUAGUAAGUUGUGUCACAUUGGAUGUAUUAUUAUUAUUGUUGAUGUUGUUGUAAAUUAUGAUACAACAUCAAAUCUACACGACUUGUGUAUAAAAUCAAUUAUUUAGGGUUGGUUUACUUUGUGAAAACAUUGUGUUUUCAUUUUCUGAAAUGUGCUCAUUUUACCGUGAUAAGAGACUCUUGAAGUGAACGAAUGUCAUAGAGAAUGUGAAAUGCUAGUUAAUGAAGAUGCAUUUAUGGAAAUAAUGAAAAUAAUUGACAUGUUCAUUUUUUUCUAUAAACGUAGACAAUUGUUAACUUCAGUAAUUGUUAACUUCAGUAAUCUGUUACUGUCUUAUUAACAAGUAAAAUAAAUACAAAUUUUAAGAAAUGAAAAUAGGAAAGGCUUUCCCAAAUUAAACAGGCCCUUAGUUGUCGUUGCCAAUGUCAAGUCAUCAUCAAUCAUUCAUUAACUUGAGAGUCAAGAUCAGAAAAAAUCUUACAUAUAUUUGUUUGUAUUUCCGCGAGAGUACAUUUUUAUUAUAUUCAAAGAAAAGUGUCUAUAUUAAAGAAAAAGCCUAUCAUAUCCGACUUUAACGAAAUUUUUCUUGUUAAAAUGCUUCUUUUAUUAACAGAAUUCCUCCACCGCACUUGUCCCCGUUCGUUAACUAUGACGAAGAAGGGGCAUAUGUUCCGGAGUAUGCAAAGACCAUUAAACACUUGCAAGCUGCUGCCAGAAAGGAAGUCCUUCCACUUCCAGGUGUUGAAAAAGAUCUCGAAGAUCCUCAAAAUCUUCUGGCUGACGGUAUCAUUGAUCGAGCAGAGGCUAACGAAGCGGCUAAGAGAAAGCAGAAGGUAUGCAUACUGAGACACGAACAGUGCAUAUUGAUUGGAGGCUAUCAUUCUAUGUUUUACUUUGUUGAUAAUAAUAUGUAAGUAAUUCCAUUUCAAUUGUUGUCUUGCAGAUGAUGAUUCUAGAGAAGCAAUACCAUGAGGAUUUGAUGAAAGAACUUCAGGGUGCUACAUAUACUUCAGCAGGUUCUACUGCUGAAAAAGAAACAUCUACUGGAUUGAUUCAGACAGCUGAAUCAACGAACAAUGGUCAAGAAAAUGUUGAUGAUUUGACUAAACUUAUGAUGUCUCGUAAAAAGAGGAAGCUAUUAGAAGCCAUGCAGGUACACCUAUUUGUAUCCUCUUUAUACAGAUUUGAAUUUCUUAUCCAUAUUAGUUCUAUUGUUUGUGUACUUCUUUUACUUUUCAAAUUAUCUAUCUGAACUUGCCAUUUGACCAUUACUAUUCUAUUUAAUCCAUAUUCCUAUUUAACCGGUGGGAAAGUGGCAGGUUGUCUUGUAGUUACAAUAAUGUUGCCUUUUUUUAAUUUGUUUUGAUGUUCAUAACUUUUGUUGUUGAAAUGUGUCACUCAGAUAUCGAAUGAGCGCAAGCAAGCUAAAAAUGAUCUUAUCAAACACCGGAAAAAGAAAAUCGACGAAGCUCAGAAUCAAAGGAGUUGAAAGGAAUCUACGUUCUCAAAGGGUUUCAGCUAUAUGCCAUUUCAUUUUGCUAUAUAGGUGCUAGCUGAUUUAUAAGGCUAGUUUUCUUUUGUUGUUUUCCAGUAUAACUUAUUUUAUUUAGUAUCUCUUCUUUCUGUUUUGUAACAUGUUUUGGAAGGGCCAAAGAACAUUUUGAUUUUUUUUAUCUACUAGUUAUACCUUGAUCUACUAGGGUGUGUAAGAAACUGAGUAAAUCCAGUGAACAAUGCUAACUAGUUUGGUUUGGAAUGCAGACGAAAGGCUUUUAUAUCUAAGGAUGUUAAAUGCAGACGAAAGGCUUUUAUAUCUAGCACUUGCGUAAUCAGGUGAUUUUAAAAUUAGAGCAUAAAUGGUACACUACGGAACUAACAAACAGUGCAAAAUUUCAAAAAGUAUGUCCGUGAUUUGGAAUGCUUUAUAUACUUUGUUCAUGUCAGUGCAAAUGAUUGAAUACAUGUGUCAUUUAAAAUUACAAUGGCAACCCCUAAAUACUUCAGUUAAAAAGUAGACAUAAUCAAUAAUACGAGAGGAAAACUUACUAUCAAUUGAGAACAAACACAAGCUUUGAACAUUCCUUAAGAUGUUUUAGAGAUGAAAAUUUACAGACAGAAGGUUCACUGGUUCACAUGAGCAGAGAUGAAUCAACUAAAUGAUAUAAGCUAAUCUCUAACUGAUUUAAAAAGGCCUAUAGUCAAGUAAUUUUCAUCUAUAUUUUCCUAUUUUUGGCACCUCUAACUUUAAUCUGGGAUAUCUAUUAAAAUAUUGAUCAAUAGGUAGUGCUACUAAACAAUAUCAACUUGUUUCAAUUGGAUAUGAUCUUGAUUUCUAAGUCACUCUCCAUUCCGAAAUUUCCCAACAGCUGCAUCCUCAACCAAUUAUGAUGAUUUCAAAUACAUAAAUAAGUAAUCAACUAGUUCACAACAUGAAUUUCAAUGUGUGUACCUCAUUUGUUCAGCUAUCAUAAUUUCAAUCUCUGCCAAUUGAGGAUUAUCCGUGUCAUUCAUGAAAAUAUUAACAUCACCAACCAUAGCUGCAAAUAGCAUAUAUAUAUAUAUAUAUAUAUAUAUAAGUCUCCAAUGUUAAUAAAUUGAACAAUAAUGAAUUAAAGGUCACCAUGAAUUAAAAGUCUCUAGAGUUGAUAAAUUAUGUGAUCAUGCAAUGGCCAUCCGCUCAUUUUCUAUGAACUUUCAUAUAAGUGAUUAUAUUGUUGAGAAUCAUUGAAACGAGUCUAUGAUCAACCAGGUCCUUCUUAAUAACAUUUGUAUCAUAAUUGCAAGUCUUAAGCCUCCUUUUGCAGGAUGAUUUCCCUAUAUGGAAGUUUUUUAAUGAAAAUUUAUUCACUAUUAAUUUUUGUCAAGAGAGCAUCAUACUCCUUUUGAGUCCCCUAAUUUUAAUCUGGUGUGGAAAUGAAUUGGACCUCCCAGAUUUCAUACAUUUCUUUUAAAAGUUUUCACACAAACAACUUCUAACUAAUGCCAAAAGAAACCAUUGGGGUAUAUCUGAUAAUAUGGUUUGCAUCAGAUGCUCCCAAGUUUCGGAAACUAUUAUGCACGUUCUUAGAGAUUUUAAUGUGGCACAUAGUCUUUGGAAAAACUUUAUUACUAUGGAGAGUGAGCAAUCAAGUUCCUUUUUUAGACUCACGCUUCCUCAAUGAAUUGGCUUUAAUCUUACGGUAGUUGAUGUUAGUUUGAUCAGAGGCCAUUGGCCUCUGGUGUUUGGAAUCAUGGUAAAUUGUGGAUGGAUAGGAACCAAGUAGUUUUAUCAAGAACACCACUUAAUGCUAAAAAAAUUUGUAAUCUUUUUAUAGAAAACCUUUCUCCAUUCAUCAACAUCUUUACCUUUGUCCUCCUUCCUUUUUUAGAGGAUCGUAAGAGAGAGAUUAAUGUUAAAUGGUAUCCUCCAAAAUUCUUUUAAGCUCAACAUUGAUGGUUCUUAUCACAACACAACAGGUCUCAUUGCUUGUGGAUGGAUUAUUAGAGAUCAUAAAUGAGUUUAUAUUCACGGUUUUUUUUGCAAUCUCGGUUGAGCUACAUUUGUGUUAGCUAAACUGUGGGGCUUGUUUCAUGGUCUUAUAAUGACAUGUAGUUCGGUUUUGACUACAAUUUUGGUGAAAUGAACUCUCAUAUGGUAGUCAACAUGAUUUGGUCGAGGGAAAUGGGUAAUCUCUAUCUUACGCCGCUUCGUCAAGAAGUAAUCUCUAUUGUACACGAGGAACGGAAUUGGGUGGUUAAUCAUGUCUAUCUUGAGACUAAUCAAUGUGCAGAUAAGCUAGCUAACCUUAAUCUCAUUUGAGAUUUUAAUUUUAUUGACCCAUGUACUCCUUUUCCUAGUGUAUUACUUCUUAUUGAUGAUGAUUAUAGAGGGAUGUAUUUAUCUCGUUUCUUUCUCGUAAGUUUUCUUUGUAAUUUUCCCUUUUAUCAUGGAGAAAAAGGAAUGUUACUCAACUAAUAAGAUCUUAUCAAAACACAACAGGUCUCAUUGCUUCAUGAUGGCUUAUUAGAGAUCAUAAAGGAGUUUAUAUUUGUGAUUUCUUUUGCAAUCUUGGUCGAGCUACAUAUGUGUUAGCUGAACUUUGGGGCCUGUUUCAUGGUCUUAUAAUGACAUGUAGUUUGAUUUUGACUACUAUUUUGGUGGAAAUGAACUCUCAUAUUGUAGUCACCAUGAUUCAGUCAAGGAAAAUGAAUAAUAUAUAUUUUAUGCCGCUUCAUCAAGAAGUCAUCUCCAUUGUAAACCAGGAAUGGAUUUGUGUGGUUAAUCAUGUCUAUCUUGAGACUAAUCGAUGUUAAUAAGCUAGCUAAUCUUAAUCUCAGUUGAGAUUUUAAUAUUAUUAACCCACUUACUCCUCUUUAUAGUGUGUUACUUCUUAUUGAUGAUGAUUAUAGAUGUAUGUAUUUCUCUCGUUUCUUUCUCGUAAGUUUUCUUUGUAAUUUUCCCUUUUAUCAUGGGAAAAAAAAAAAGGAAUGCUACUCAAAGAAUAAGAUAUGGAGUUUCAAAUUCGAUUCAAACCCCAAAAUCAAUGUCCUAAAAGUAUAUCCUUGAUAAUUCCGCUUCAGACCCUUUUAUUAACAAAAUCAAUGUCCCUUUUAACAAUUUUGGAGCUUUUAUAGUACAUUCAUUAAUCGAAGAGUUUUGGUACAUUUUUUCUCUAAAUCAAUAAAUUAAGGAUAAUUUUAAUGAAUCAAAUAGUUAUUUAUUGACUUUUGUAUUUUAUAAAAGAUCAUUUCAUAUGAAAAAAAAAACGAUUUUGUUGUUUAUAAGUACUAUACUAGUUUUUUCUAUUUUAUUGUAAAAAUAUUCAAUAUUCACAAUUAUGAUUUAUUUGACUUACACUUUUGAUAAAUAAUAUUUAGUUAUUAUAAUUAUAUAAAUAAUAGGAAUUAUUUUUUUCCUAAAAAAUUCAAUUAACUAUUAAUUUAAAUAUCAAAUGUAUUGAUACAUGUCAAAUUAAUUGAUUUACUGAAGAAAUGCUCUUUCAAAAUAGUUCCGUCGCUAAAUUAAUCCACUUACAAUAAAAAUAUAGAUGAGUACAAGAGAAGAUUUCAAUAAUUAAUCCUAAGCUAAAUUAGACUUUUAGUCCCUCAACUUAGAUUUUGGUUUCAAUUUAAUCUCCUAAUCAUUUUCAUUUUGUUUUAGUCUCUUACAUAUACUUUUGUUAGUCAAGUUGGUCAUAUCUGUUAAUUUUUGAAAUCUUCUCUUGUGCCCAUCUAUAUUUUUGUUCUUCUUCAACCUAAAAGUAGUGGUUUUGUUCCUCUUUUCAACUGUACUCUGCAUAACUUGUGACUAAUUUUGUUCACAGCGAGAACACUAAUAAAUACAUAUGAAGAACAAAAUGGAUGAAUUGAAGUGACAUCAUUCAAAAAAAAAGUCAAGUUAAAUUCUCCAAAAAGAUCUAGAAAAUGUCUAUUUAUUAGCAUGACAUUAUCAUCAUUUUGCAAUUUGAUGGUACACACAAACCAUUUAAACAUACGGAUUGUGUGGCAUCAAAGUAGUAUCAAAAGAUUACAAUGAUAGUAAGUAAUAGUAUCACAAGAUUCGUUAGAAGAAUACCAUCUUCCACUACAUUUGAUUUGUUAAAUUGUCCAAUUACCAAAGAUCUUUAACCAUUUUCAAAUGUUGAAAUAAGGGUUCCUACAACAAGGAGAUGAAAACUUAAAACUCAAACAUGGAUACAACCGAGACAUAUAUCGCAAAUCCUAAUAAAUAAAACACGAAUAUUUGCUAUAAUAUCACUUGUUGGAGAUUCCAAUGGUGAUAGUUACUCCGCAUACCAAAAACCUUAAGGCAUAUCUCCACCCACCUAAAUCCCAAUAAAGUUGAUGUUGCAAUCACUUCCAACUUCAAAGACAUUCUUGAUGUGGAAGAUUUUACCACAUCCUUGGUCAUGUGAGAAGAUUGAAAGCAAAUAAAUAAAGUGUGCAUCAGAUGCUUUUUAUGUUGUACGAACCAUGUGCUAACACAUGCAUACUCAAUUUUAAAAUAUAUCUACAGUUUUACGAUCACUUGAUUUUCUAGGCAAUUCAACUUCAAAAUUUAUGCUAAAUGAUAUGGUUUAAAGGUGUGCUAUAACAAAUUCAAUAACAAAACUUGUAGAAACAAUGAUAUAACCAUCCAUCAUCCAUCAGUUACAUGACUAAAGUAAAUUUAACUAUUGAAUAAAGACCUCUUAUACUUUUUCUUUGUUUAGCUAUUAGUUUGUUCUCUCAUCCAUCAUCCAACACUAUUUUUGCAACACCUCAUAAGUGGUCCCUGAAAUCUAAAUGGGAACAACAAAAAUGUUGUACUGCAUAUAAAAAACCAAAACAAAUGCUAAAAGGUGUGGAAUAAUUUGAUAAAAUGUCCUAUUAAACAAGUAUUUAUUUCACAAAAGUUUUUGGAUAGAAUAAUUUGUCCAAAGAACAAAGGUGUGGAAUCAGAAACAUGACGUGUGAAAGGAGUAAAGAACAUUGAAACUAUAUCAAUAGAAUACCAUAUAUUGAAUAUGAGGUAUAGAUGUUUAUUUAUUAGCAACAGUAGUACAGAAGCUAACUUGCAAAAGUUAUGAUGUACAAUGAGUUUUUGUUUAAGCCAUAUGUGUUUUAACUUGAAGAAAAUGUUUCCUAAUAAAGGACUUUGUAGCUCCUUUAACACAUGCUAAAAUGUCCUAUUAAACAAGUAUUUAUUUCACAAAAGUUUUUUGAUAGAAUAAUUUGUCCAAAGAAGAAAAGGUGUGGAAUCAGAAACAUGACGUGUGAAAGGAGUAAAGAACAUUGAAACUAUAUCAAUAGAAUACCAUAUAUUGAAUAUGAGUUAUAUAUGUUUAUUUAUUAGCAACAGUAGUGCAUAAGCUAAGUUGCACAAGUUAUGAUGUACAAUGAGUUUUUGUUUAAGCCAUAUGUGUUUUAAUUUGAAGGAAAUGCUUCCUAAUAAAGGACACUCCAACUCCUUUAACAUAAGCUAAAAUGUCCUAUUAAACAAGUAUUUAUUUCACAAAAGUUUUUUGCUAGAAUAAUUUGUCCAAAGAACAAAAGGUGUGGAAUCAGAAACUGAAAGGAGUAAAGAACAUUGAAACCAUAUCAAUAGAAUACUAUAUAUUGAUACGAGGAAUAUAUGUUUAUUUAUUAGCAAGAGUCGCAUAGAACCUAUCUUGCACACAUUAUAAAAAGUAAUUACAGCUUGAAAAACAUGAAAUCAAAUAAUGUUGAGCAACAACAGAAUGAAGCAACUGAAGAAGGUAACAUAGAUCUCCUCUACAAAAUAAUUAAAGAUGAUCAAUCAAUUUUGGAGAGUAUCGAUUCGAAACAAUUUGUGGAAACUCCUUUACAUAUCGCUGCAGCUAUGGGUCGUAUCCAGUUCGCCAAUGAAAUUAUGAGGUUGAAACCUUCAUUUGCUCGUAAGCUAAAUGAACAAGGAUUCAGCCCUAUCCACCUUGCUAUGCUAAACAGCCGAAAGUGGAUGGUGUUUAAUUUUGUUGACAUGAAGAAGCAACUUGUUACAGAUCAAGGAAGAGAAGGCUUAACUCCUCUUCAUUUAGCAAGUGAAAUUGGUGAUAUUGAAUUUUUAGCUAAGUUUAUUUAUGCUUGUCCAGAAUCAAUUGAAUGCUUGACUGCGAGGAAUGAGACUGCACUACAUAUUGCUAUUAAGAAUCAACAGUUUGAGGCUCUUCAAUUUCUUGUUGGCUGGCUCGUAAGAAAUGAGGAGAGAGGUGUUACAGAGUUGGAAAAUAAAAUACUUAACCAAAAGGAUGUGGAUGGAAACACUAUUUUGCACAUUUCAGCUCAAAGUAGUGAUCCACGGGUAACUUUCGUUUGUAUAUUUAUUUUGUUCUCCCCUCAAAUUAAAAACUAUAUGUAAAUGAUUCUCAUAUUUCUUAUUAUUUUACUUUGUAGCACAGACAGUUCGAUUGUUGGUAAAAGACUGGGAUAAAUUUGAAGGCAAAGAACUUAGACAACAAAACAACAUUAGACAUGGCAACCAAUGAAGGUGCAAAAAGUGGCUCACAAGUCAUUGACAUACGUUCACAAGAACUAAUAAUACCAAUGACGACACUAUAUGAUAAAAUGUUAAUUUUAUUACGUCGCCUUAGUAACGAUAUAUCAAAUAAUCAACGCGAAACUUUGCUGAUAGUUGUGACACUUGUUGCGACUGCCACUUAUGAAUCAGCAAUGAGUCCCCCUGGUGGAAUUUAUCAGGCUGAUGCUGGUGACAAUAAUGUGAAAAUCAGUUCCUCCAAUUCUACUAUUUCUAACCCAGGAAAUGUUGGGAAAUCGAUUUUGUCAAGACAUGAUUUCUUAGUGUUUUCAUUGAUGAAUAUGUUUUCUUUUUACGAAUCAAUUACAGUAAUAUUGUUUUUGAUGCCAGGUGGGAUAGUUGGCGCUCUACUGUUAGAUACAGUUAUUUUCUUUGUCGUGAGUUAUAUAAUUUUUCUGGUGAAAAUAUCCCCUACACAUUUCAAUGAGAUGAUCAUCCUGUAUGGUUUCAUCAUCAUCAUGUCUGCCGUAUUAUUUAUGUUCUACCAGAAACUUAAGAAAACACCAAUCAAGGGGGCAACACAGAUCAUACCACUGUCGUGCCGGCUGAAUUCACCAACAACAAUAUCUCCGUACAAUAAUUUCUAUUUUUCGUUCUUAACCUUUUUCUUGUUCAAUCUUACCAAAUUGUUAAUUACUAUAUCAUAUAUUGUAUUCUAUUCCAUCUAUGUGUAUUUAUUAUUAUUAUUAUUUAAAAUGAGAUUACUCAACAUGAUAUAUGUGUGAAUAGUCUUUUGAAUAACUUCUUUUUUUUUUAAGUGUAAUGGGAAAAGCCCCUAGCCUUUAGGGCCUAUUUGAAUGAAUUUAUGUUUUUAAUUUUUCAACAAUCUUUUACAAUUUAAUUUUAAAAACUCUUUAUAAGGAAAAAAAAAAAAACAAUCAAUGUUGUUUGGUAAUUCUAUUUUCAAACACCAUCUCCACCACCACGACCUACCGCUCCGGAAUUUUCUUCAUAAAAAAAAACUUUGUUCACCAUCGUGUCGUGUUCGUUGCUCUCUUAUAAUAAUCCUCCAUCAAAACGGAGAUCAAUGAGAAUCAUGGUUGGAGUUGGUAGCUCCAAGCAAUCCCAUAUUGUGGACACAACCAUUGAUACCAUCUCUGAUGACGAUUCUGGUUCAAAAUCACCACAAAAAUCCUUGAAACCAACCACUUCACCAUCAAAAUCAAUAUAAUGUCUUUUUCCGCCUUAAAAAAUACCACCUAAAAAGAGAAAAUGAGAUUUAACUAAAAAGCUUCGCUAUAAGAUUUUUUAUUAAAAUUGAGACACAUUAUCUUAUCUCAACCUUUAUUUGAAUAUUUUUUAUUUAUGAUAUUUAAUUAUUUACCAUAACUCAUUCAGCUAUCGUCCAAUGUUUUGUCUAUCAUGUCAUAAUUUUGAAAACAUGUAAUGUCAAUGAUUCUAAGAAGUACUCCCUCGAGUGACUAUUUUAGUUUUAAGUAAAAAAAAUUCUCUUGUUGUAUUAAAAAUAUAGUUAAAUGGCAAUUAAUUUUAUAUAUUUUACAUAAAAUAUAAGUUAAAUUUAUUAAAUUGUCAUUUUUAAUGUACAAUAUUCGACUAUUAAUAUUAAAUAUUUUGAUGUAAAUGGUGGAUUAAAAAUAGACAUGGCAACAGGCGGGACGGGGGCGAAAUAUAAAGUAUAUUUAAUAUGUCCAUGUGUAUAAAAUUUAAAAAUGAGAAUAAUAUUAUUAGCGGGACAUAUUCGAGUCCGAAUUCGGGGUGAAUGUCAACACACUCGCACUCGAUUAAAGCGAUUUUUCUCCGUCCAAAUUAAAACGAUUUCAAAUGGAUAUACGCGGAGGCGGAUUAUGUUGUCAUCUCUAAUUAAAAUAAUAAUAUUAAAUUAAUCAAAACUAUCUUAUAUUUAGGAUGCAAUGUUUUAAAUUUUUACAGAAUUAAAACAUAGAUAUAAAAACAUAUGUUAAAUUUCUUAGGUAAGUUUUGUCAUGUUAAUUGGUAGAGAUUAAUUGGAGAAAAUGUAUAUAUUUAACUAAAGCAAAUCUCGUUAGUGUAAAAUAGAAAAACAAAUACAAAUUAUUUUGUAAAUGUUUAAUGAAACCUAAUAUAUUUCCUAUUUUAAAUUGGACCACCAUCUCUAACCUUAAAUUUUAUAAAUAAAUAAAUAAAACAAAAUAAUUAAUUAAAGAAGGAUUUAUGUAAUGUAUAUUUGAAUAAUGAAGUUAUUUAAAAAAUGAAGGUGACCCACUAGGUUUUGGAUUUGGGCUUUGGGCCAAAAUAUUAGCGUCCAUUCCACGCAGAAUCUUAACUCCUAAUAACCCUAGUUUCUAGUUUACUUAUCUUGUUUUGAUUUUGAAAGAAUAAAAACCUACCAAUCACUCUCUAACCUCUCUCAUCUUUGCUCUUCGCCGUCACCGCAACCACCGUUCCCUCAAAUCAAAAUACCAUGUCGGACGAAGAGCACCAUUUCGAAUCCAAGGCCGACGCCGGAGCCUCCAAAACCUACCCUCAACAAGCCGGUACCAUCCGUAAAAACGGUUACAUCGUCAUCAAAAACCGUCCUUGCAAGGUCCGUAUCCACAUUCUAAUUCCUUUUUUAAUUAGGUUUUUACUAAAUUAAUCAUUGAUUUGAUUUCAUGUAUUUGAUUAGAUCCAGUUUUUCUGCUUCACUGUUUUGG